This 211-nucleotide long non-coding RNA is filed under the name Elaeis guineensis (African oil palm). Its description in RNAcentral is "long non-coding RNA (EGUI_LNC029374)". The record is from RNAcentral. Lineage: Eukaryota; Viridiplantae; Streptophyta; Magnoliopsida; Arecales; Arecaceae.
GGGUAGUGGCCAUUGUCGUGACUUGCCAGAAAGUUUGGAUCUGUCAGCUGGAGCUCGGCUGGGAUAUCUGAUGGAGCGGAGUGGCUCUCUGUCCCGUCGAUCUGAGAGAAGCUCGGAAAUUUUUGAGGUUGCUGAUGAGUCUACUGUUGUCGGAUGCCUCAGGCAUCGAUGCUACAGGUGGGAGUCAUCUGCUGUAGAAGCUCGGAUGGAG